Long non-coding RNA from Hyaena hyaena (striped hyena), 317 nucleotides. RefSeq lists it as uncharacterized. The record is from RefSeq and is a predicted model, not a curated record. The transcript has 3 exons. Lineage: Eukaryota; Metazoa; Chordata; Mammalia; Carnivora; Hyaenidae.
CUCAGUCACCCGGAGCUCCACAGGGCAGCUUGCCAGGCAGCAUUCCCAGAUUAUGUGAGAGAUGGCCUUCCCUUGCUUCAAGUAACACCGGCAGAAGAGGAUCUGAGAGAACAAGCCUGGAGCUGUGGGCAGCCCCUGUGGCACCACAGGGGAUGUGAAGUAUGAGUAGGAGUGAAGUCAGCAUGAAGAAGAAAAGAGCCAAGGGGAGGACAGACUCAAGCCCUGAUCAGAGGGUUGAGCCUUGGAACAAGUUGGUCCUAAAGCUGGAUGUACCCAGGAUUUUUCGGACAUGAGGCAAUAAAUCCCCUUUUGUUUAA